GGAGGGUACAGCUCAGUGGUAGAGUCCCUGCUUAGCGUGCGUGAGGUCCUGGGUUCAAUCCCCAGCACCUCCA
Camelus ferus (Wild Bactrian camel) is the source of this 73-nucleotide non-coding RNA. Lineage: Eukaryota; Metazoa; Chordata; Mammalia; Artiodactyla; Camelidae. The record is from Rfam.